CCUACGGGGCGCAGCAGUGAGGAAUAUUGGUCAAUGGGCGGAAGCCUGAACCAGCCAAGUCGCGUGAGGGACUAAGGCCCUGCGGGUCGUAAACCUCUUUUGUCGGGGAGCAAAAGACGCCACGCGUGGCGUUCCGAGAGUACCCGAAGAAAAAGCAUCGGCUAACUCCGUGCCAGCAGCCGCGGUAAUACGGAGGAUGCGAGCGUUAUCCGGAUUUAUUGGGUUUAAAGGGUGCGCAGGCGGAAGAUCAAGUCAGCGGUAAA
RNAcentral lists this ribosomal RNA (263 nucleotides) under uncultured bacterium. Its description in RNAcentral is "partial 16S ribosomal RNA". It matches the Rfam family "Bacterial small subunit ribosomal RNA", at positions 338 to 598 of the family's 1533-position model. The record is from RNAcentral.